Molecule: unclassified non-coding RNA, 333 nt
Filed under: uncultured Glomeraceae
Lineage: Eukaryota; Fungi; Glomeromycota; Glomeromycetes; Glomerales; Glomeraceae
Description: sequence contains 18S rRNA gene
Source: RNAcentral
CCCAACUAUCCCUAUUAAUCAUUACGUCGAUCCUAGAAACCAACAAAAUAGAAUCAAACGUCCUAUUUCAUUAUUCCAUGCUAAUGUAUUCAGACGAUAGUCUGCUUUAAACACUCUAAUUUUUUCAAAGUAACAGUCCUGAUUCCCCACGACACCAAAUUAAUGGCAUCGAGGUUCUUCAGAAGGGAGAAACCAAUAAUACCAGUACGUACCGAGGCACGACCAACAAAUUGGUCCCGAAAUUCAACUACGAGCUUUUUAACUGCAACAACUUUAAUAUACGCUAUUGGAGCUGGAAUUACCGCGGCUGCUGGCACCAGACUUGCCCUCCAA